AUGGCUACCCGCGGGCCGCCUCCGUCGUCGUCAUCAUCCGGAUCCGUGACCGUGACGAUCGACCCCUCCCCUUCCUCCUCCGCCCCUGCGGCCGCCCCGCCGCCGCCGGAGACGGUGGUCCUGCGGCUGAAGCGGCGGGCGAAGAAGAAGGUGUCCUGGAAGGAGGGGACCGUCGACAACGAGUCCCUCGGUCGCAAGAGCUCCAAAAAGUGCUGCAUCUUCCACAAGGAGGUGCCCUUCGACGAGGACUGCAGCGACGACGAGGCGGACGGCGGCCGCCGGAAUCCGCAUGGGGACGCCGGCGAGGGGACCAGCGGCGGCAAGGGCGGCUGCUCUUCCUCCUCCCACGGCCAUGACCACGGCCACAGACACCACCACUGA
RNAcentral lists this ribosomal RNA (381 nucleotides) under Triticum aestivum (bread wheat). RNAcentral describes it as "partial small subunit ribosomal RNA". The record is from RNAcentral. Lineage: Eukaryota; Viridiplantae; Streptophyta; Magnoliopsida; Poales; Poaceae.